CACAGGCAUUAUAAAUACUGUAUAAAUCUGAACAGUUUUUAUUUAUCUUUUCCUCGGCUCUUUCUAUACUGUUGUUUCAAUCAAAUGUAUUUACUGUUUGUUUAUUUGUGUUAUUUGUUUGCUUGUAUUUAUUUCCACGGGUCCCAAGCUCCUUUGAAUGAACUUGACACAGCACCAAAGGGUUAACAUAUGCUGUAUACACUCUAAAAGAAUUACUAUAAAAAUUGUAUUUAACUCAGAGUGUAUACAGCAUACAUUAACCCUUCUGUGUCAAGUCCAUUUGAAGGACUUUAUUUUCCACAUGUGCAAUGGAGGAUGGUAGUUUGGCUGACCUCUCUGUCCUCUGUAGCAGCAUUUUAUACCAGCGGGGCCCUUGCUGUCAUAGAAACAGCAUGAGCAAGUGCUCUGAUUGGUGCGGAGCCCAGGAUCAUCCGUUGUUGCUCGCUGAGAGAAGUGCUGAGUGGACCCUCCUGUUGAAGCCCCCCUCUCCGUCCCCGCUCCGCCCCUGGAGCCGCUGCACUUCCCUUUGUCCCGCAGAUUUGUUUUUUUCCAUCCUGGUUGAACUUUCUAGCGUGACACUAAUAAGUCCAUAGCAUCAUAUAUGCGGCUUAGCAGGGCGCAGGGGGCAUAGCCUAACAAAUGUGUGGAGUCAAUUGGUUUCCCAAGGGGACGCUACUGAGAAGCUGGCUCACCAAGUCCCGACCCAGACUGCUGCUGCUCAUCGCCGGCUUGAAGAGGCCUCAGGUCACCCUCAUGCGCAGGAAAAGGAUGAAACGCACGAAAGUAGCAAAGGCCACGUAAGCGAACCUGCAGUCGUAUGCCGCAUUUCACUUGAGGUGCUGACGCAGAGAGAAGCUCCAUCUACCAUCGACAUGUGCGCAGAUCCAGAAACAGCGAAAGCAUCUCAGUCGUCUCUGCCAAACAUACGAACUAAACGCCAAAGCAGAAGCAGAAGAGGCUCAGAGUUUGUCGUGAAAAUGAGGGAUCUUCCACAAAGAUCCAGACCCCCCGACUAAGAUCCGGAGCCUCCCAGUGACAUUUGUUCCAUCUUUCCCUCAAAUACACUUCUGUCAUGCUUCAGUUCACUACACAGCGUGUGACAGCACAUUAUUGCUCUUGCUCUUUAAGUGCCUUUGGUUGACAGUGCUUUCAUGUGUUCUCUGGUCAGGAUUUCAGGGACUUUUAUUUUUGGAUUCCUAAUGAUGCGUGCGGGUGAAAAAGAAGAAAACUUGUGAAAAAAAGAAAGAAAAACUUAUGAUGAGCUAGUAACCAACAGCACACCAGUGGUUUUUUCAUACUGUUGAGCCGUCAGACUGACAGCUGGCGGUCCAUUACUGUGUCCAGAGGAGUAAAAUAAUUCAUUUAAAUGUCAAUAUAUAGAUAAAAAAUAGAUAUAUGAAAGUUAUAUCAAUCCAAAUGGACCAUUAAGUGGCCACUAUUAUCACUGAACAACUUUUAAAAAAUCAUUGUAGAAACAUUAUUAUUUUUAUUACAAACAAAUACAUAUAUAUACACAUUUUAUAUAUAUAUAUUUUAUCAUAUAAUUAAUUGGCUGUUAUUGAACAGGUCCACGUAAUUAUUUUUAAAAACUACAUUAAUAAUUGUUAGGUGAAUCUCAUAAAGCAUGUCAAGUCUGGCUCACAUAUCAAACAAAAUCCAUGGUAAAAAAAAUAUAUAUAUUGCAAUAAGAAAACGACCAGUUUUGUUAACAUAUUUUAUCGCAAAUGUUUUUCUUUUUUCCCCCGAUAUUCUCAUUACAUUCUCAAAGUACAGAAAAUUUGUGAACUAUAUUAAUAGUAGAUUUUUUUUUACUUAAAAAGUAUAGUAUUUCAAAAUAUAAAUUCACUUCAUUUAUUUAUUAUUUUAUCGUUUUUUUGCAAAAUAUAAUCCAUAUAUUUGAUAUGGUUAUAUGGUUUAAUACAUUUUAUUUUAGAAAUAUUCUUUUUCUAAUUCAAACUUGUUUUAUCUGACUUUGAGGCGACUCUGUGGCUUAGUUGAUAGUGGAGGUCUUAAUGCUCAGAUCCGGUUUUUUGCACUGUUGUUCACAUUGUCAUUUAAAUGCGACUUGUGUGAGCCCUGAAAUGACCCGCAUGCGCAGAAGACGACGUGAUGUCAGACACAGUGCACUGUGUUUGUGGGAAUAAAAAUCUUUCCGCCUCCUCCAUUGCAGAAUUGUGACAUCUGUUGCAUUUCAGUGAUGUGCAAACCAUUUGAAAUGCGACAAGUCAUAUAUGUAUGCAAUUUAAGACCACAUAGGAAAGUGGCGUGGGCAUGAUUUGAAAAAAAUCUGAUUUUUGUUACGAGAAAAUCAGAUAUUGGUCACAUUUGAACAAAAAAGUCAGACUUGGGCCAGUUUAGCCCAUAAUGUGAACUAAGCCAAACAAUAUCUUGACAUUUUUUUGUGAGAUUCACCCAUUGCACUUGCUUCCAGUAAUUUCCAGCAACAAGCUACAGCAUGAGUCAAAACAGAUGCUUGCAUAGUUUGAAACUUAUUUUCUCUUUUGAACAAUUCUGUCUUUAGUGUUCAUAUUGUCUUCUAUCUCUAGCUACUAUGUUAAAGCGGACACACAGACUUGUUUGAAGAAUCGCAUACGUUUAAUUUCAGAGCAUUUUAAGAUUAUUUUCAUUUAUUCUUUGAAUAAACAAGGUAACACUUUAUAUUAAGUCGUCCCAUUUGUCCUUCGUUACAUAUAUACAGUAACAACAUAGUAAUGAGCAGUAAUUACACUGUUAUAAAACAAAAAUAUUAACUUUCUAAAAUAUAUAGACAUGAAUUAUAUCACUGGCAUCAGCUCCUUACAACAUUUGCAUAGCAAAUCAAUUAAGAAUUAAAUUAUCCAAAACUAAGCACUUAAUAUAAAGUGUGACCAAUGCAUGCAAAUUUGUAUAAUUUUGUGCUGUCAAAAUAUUAUUGCAUCCAAAAUAAGUUUAAAUAAUAUGUGUG
This is a long non-coding RNA of Puntigrus tetrazona (Sumatra barb), 2944 nucleotides long. RefSeq lists it as uncharacterized. The transcript has 3 exons. NCBI's taxonomy places the organism in Eukaryota, Metazoa, Chordata, Actinopteri, Cypriniformes, Cyprinidae. The record is from RefSeq and is a predicted model, not a curated record.